UACAGAGGUCCCCAAGCGUUGUUCGGAUUCACUGGGCGUAAAGGGUGCGCAGGUGGGCUGGUAAGUUCGAUGUGAAAAGCCCCCGGGCGUUAACCCGGGUAACGUGGCAUUGGAUACUACUGGUCUGGAGGAUUGGAGGGGGGACGUGGAAUUCUUGGUGUAGCAGUGAAAUGCGUAGAUAUCAAGAGGAACACCAGUGGCGAAGGCGAGUCCCUGGACAA
RNAcentral lists this ribosomal RNA (221 nucleotides) under uncultured bacterium. RNAcentral's name for it is "partial 16S ribosomal RNA". It matches the Rfam family "Bacterial small subunit ribosomal RNA", at positions 524 to 736 of the family's 1533-position model. The record is from RNAcentral.